This 1685-nucleotide long non-coding RNA is filed under the name Vulpes vulpes (red fox). RNAcentral's name for it is "lncRNA (ENSVVUG00000025220.1)". The record is from RNAcentral. Lineage: Eukaryota; Metazoa; Chordata; Mammalia; Carnivora; Canidae.
GAAAGCUUAGAACAAAAAAAUGGCAGAACUAGGAUGAGAAAAAGACUUACCUACAACCUUCCAAGGCAAGAAAGCAGUGAGUUCAAGGUUUUGCUUGGUUUCUCAUUGCUUCUGAGGGCUGUCAGGGGUCUCAUUCAGUUCCCUCUUCUGAUACUAAAACUAUUAAAGGUAAACUGAGGUAUAUUAAAUAUUUGAGAGUUUGAGCAAAAAUUAAUCUGAACCUGGCAGGAAGAGCUAUAAAAUGAAAAACUUUUAUAGGUAGAAAGGAGUAAGAACAGGAAGUUACUAUACUAGGCAAAAAAGAAGGUUGGUUUUUUGCAAGGUUACUUUUCUUUCAGGGAUGGCAAGUGUCUAUUAGGCAGAUUACCUAAUAGUGCUGAUCAGGUGAGUACUAAUUGAAUCAUUUAAGAUUCCAUUUCUGGGAGAGCCGAAACUGUAGGUCUUGGUCUUGUGACAUUGGACUUAGCAUAAAUGACUCCAUUUUGGGCCCAUUGUCUUUUUUGUUGUUAUUGGGGUUUGUUUUUGUUUUAUAGAGAGAGAGGGAAGGAGAGGAGAGGAGAGGGGAGGGCAGGAGAGGAGAGGAAGGGGAAGAGGAGGUGGGAAUCUUAAGCAGGCUCAAUGCCCAGCACAGAGCUCCAUGUGGGGCUCAGUCCCAGAACUCUGAGAUGAAAUCAAGGCCUGAGCUGAAAGCAAGAGUCAGAUGCUUAGCUGACUGAGCCACCCAGGUGCCCUUUUAUUUUUGAUGUUAUUUAAAAAGAACCCUAUUGCUACAUAAUUUCAUUGAUUCCCAAAUUGAUGUCUCACUCAGAUUCUACUCCAAAGCUGAGCUCUGCAUGUGCAAAUUUCUGCAGAAUGUCUCCACUUGGAAAUCCUCGCACUUACCAGCAGAGGGGCAAGCUGACCUUACAGAAACACAUUACCCAGGACUCUUCCAGUUGUAGUUUCCAACUCAUGCUAGUAAUUUCCAUGACAGCUAAAGGAAAAACCAAAAGGAAACUGAAUGACUCAUCUUGGGGGUCAAAUAAGGUAAGCCAAUUCUCUAAGCCUUUAGGUUCUGCUGUCCUCUUUCCUUGGAUCCAUUCUCAGACUGAUCCUCUUCACACUGUAGUCCCAAGAAGCUUAUGUCAUAAUGGUCUUCAGCGUUCAAGAUCUCUCAAUGAGAGAUUCAGAAUUUAUAGGUCAUAGAAAAACCCCACCAAAAAAUAACAAUUCUGAUAGACUCUACUUGGACCAAUCACUUAUGCAGGCAGUAGAACACUUUCGUAGAUGAGGAAGAUCCAAAGAGACGCAGAACCACAUGGUUGACAGUUCCACUAGUAUGAUAUAAAGUGGUAAGUGCAGUUCUCUAGGAAAAGAGGGGUUCUGUUAUUAGAAGGGAACAUUGGCCAGGACAGAAACAAUGCUCAGUACAGAAGGCAAAAUAGUUGAAGGUAGGUAAGAGAGGGAGUCAUUUUUCCUGCCAUUAAUCCUUUAUCUCUAGGGAAGAGUUUUUUUAAAUGAUCUUAUUUAUUCACGAGAAACACACAGAGAGAGGCAGAGCAGGUAGAGGGAGAAGCAGGCUACCUCAAGGGAGCCUGAUGCAGGACUCCAUCCAGGACUCUGGGAUCACAACCUGAGCUGAAGGCAGAUUCCUAACCACUGAGCCACCCAGGUGCCCCUUUAGGGAAGUUUUAUCUGAAAGUUUG